CCAACACACUUUGUAGCGAGUCGUUCUUCUCGUCAAUGCAAGAAACAGAUCCUUGGGGUCAAGGGAUACUAAGUUCAAGCGGAGUCCAGAAGCAUAUAUCGGACUUCACAACAAUAACUUCAAUGAAAAUGGAAGAUUCACGAAACAUCUUCAUUAAGACUAAACGUGAUGCAGCGUACCCCAAUCCGACUGUCGAUAUGCCUACAAGCCCUACAUCUGUAGUAAAUCCAGUAGAACGCCGCCCUGAAGUAGUUUGCAAUUGCCGGGAAAAUAGAUAUAUUCAAUGCAUAGUUCCAAGGGAUCAUUAUUUUGACACCCAAGCCCGAGCCAGAUUAUUAAAGAAAGAAAAAAUAUAUCAACCGAGUUCGUCGAGCACUGUGAGGGGUGAGCAACCCAUUCGAGCACAGUACGGAUACAAAAUUAACGAAGCAAAAAUGUUACCUUCUAAACGU
Long non-coding RNA from Dreissena polymorpha, 452 nucleotides. RefSeq lists it as uncharacterized. The transcript has 3 exons. The record is from RefSeq and is a predicted model, not a curated record. Lineage: Eukaryota; Metazoa; Mollusca; Bivalvia; Myida; Dreissenidae.